UACCAAUUGAGAAACACCAGUUCCUUUAUGAUCACCAAAGUUAAGAAACAUUGAGCCUGGUCAGUACCUAGAUGAGUGACUGCUGGGGGAUACCAGGGGCUGUAGG
This is a non-coding RNA of Acanthosepion pharaonis, 106 nucleotides long. The record is from the annotation of a GenBank genome assembly. NCBI's taxonomy places the organism in Eukaryota, Metazoa, Mollusca, Cephalopoda, Sepiida, Sepiidae.